RNAcentral lists this ribosomal RNA (300 nucleotides) under uncultured Candidatus Portiera sp. Its description in RNAcentral is "bacterial SSU rRNA". It matches the Rfam family "Bacterial small subunit ribosomal RNA", at positions 114 to 417 of the family's 1533-position model. The record is from RNAcentral. Lineage: Bacteria; Pseudomonadati; Pseudomonadota; Gammaproteobacteria; Johnevansiales (SeqCode); Johnevansiaceae (SeqCode).
CGCGUAGGAAUUUACCUUUCGGUGGGGGAUAGCCCGGUGAAAACCGGAUUAAUACCGCAUACGCCCUACGGGGAAAGGGCGGGAGUCUUCGGACCGGUCACUAUUGGAGGAGCCUGCGCUGGAUUAGCUAGUUGGUAGGGUAAAGGCUUACCAAGGCAACGAUCCAUAGCUGGUCUGAGAGGAUGAUCAGCCACACUGGAACUGAGACACGGUCCAGACUCCUACGGGAGGCAGCAGUAGGGAAUAUUGCACAAUGGGCGAAAGCCUGAUGCAGCCAUGCCGCGUGUGUGAAGAAGGCCC